AUGAUAGCCAUGUCCAAAUAUAUAAAAGGAUGUCAUAUAGAGGAGGGAGAAAGGUUGUUUUCUGCUGCUCCAGAGAAGUGGACACGGAGCAAUGGAUUCAAACUACAAGAAAGAAGAUUCCACCUAAACAAUAGGAAGAACUUCCUGACAGUAAGAGCUGUUCGGCAGUGGAAUUUGCUACCAAGGAGUGUGAUGGAGUCUCCUUCUGAGGUCUUUAAGCAGAGGCUUGUCAGGCACAUGUCAAUAAUGCUUUGAUGGUGUUUCCUGCUUGGCAGGGGGUUGGACUGGAUGGCCCCUGUGGUCUCUUCCAACUCUACGGUAUGAUUCUAUGAUUCUACUCUGAGUAGACAUGUAUUGGAUAACUGUCAAUCAAUUUGCUUUUCUUGGCAUCCUGCCAGCUCCUGACAUGAAUCCUAGCCAUCUUACUAGCCUAGAGUAGUAUGUAAAUAUAGUGGUUUUCCCAAGUUACCAUUUCAGAAAUUAAAUUUCUCAUGUUUCUGUAGUACUUAUUGUCUCUGUGUCUUAUUGUCUCUGAUGGAUUAUUUAAUUUAUCAUACACUUACCUGAUUUACAGUGGAAAUUAUGUUGUUUCAACCUAUCAUGUACAAGACAAAUACAAAAAGAGAAAACAUAUGGGGUUUCUCUGAUUUAUAGAUUUUUUUACUGUCACCUGUAGAUGGCAUUAUAAGGUGCCUAACACUUUGAAAUAAUCUCCUUCGUUGAUCACACCAAUUUCCUUUCACCUGUUGUCUUAAAGCAGCUAUUUGCUUGAUGUUCCAGAUUAUCCAUCUAAAGCUGACUCAGGAUAAGUUCAUUUCACCCCAUUGCACUGUGACUUUUGCUGCCAAAACAUAUUAGGAUCCAUCGGAAUAUAUGGUGUCUAAAGAAGUAUGGUGUGAAAUAGACUCCUUGAUCACAACACAUCAGGAUUUUUGGGCUGGUUGUACAAGUUUGAAAAGAAGAUCUGGCUACAACUGUGUUCAACCUGCAUACAGGUGACUGUCCAGCAACUUGUCUGAGUUCUCAGCCACAACUCAGGUAGAAAACUCCAAAGGUCAGGCAAAUUCCCAAUGUUUGGCAACAUGAAGAUCAUCUAUAGGAUCCUUGUACGCAGCUUGGCCAGUGGUCAGAAAUGAUGGGUGUUGAAAUCCAAUGGAAUCUGGAGGUCACAGGUUCCCCAUCUCUGUGUCCUAAUGCUAACCAUUAAAAAAACCUUGAAGAGACUUUCACGGAUUGUAUGAGCAGACCACUUGACCAACAGUGGGUAUAUUUUGAAUUCAAUUAUAGUAAUUAAUUAUUGCAAGCCUUUUAUGUGGCUGUUGUCCUUCAUCCAGAUGCAAAACCUUCUCUUGUUCCUGGCAUGCUUGUCCACUGCAGUGGAGGACAGGCAUGGCUGGAUUUUCAGGCUGUUCCACAUGCUACAAUUUGGAAUGAGGUAGCUGAAACCAAACAAUGGAUCCCAUGGAAGAACAUGACAAUGGGAGGGACAACACCACCAAUUUACAUAUGAUACCACUUAAGUUGAGAAACAGCUGUUAGCUUUUUCUGUGCUUUUCCCAUACUGUUUACAAAAUAAGCUCAAGGAAGUUUGGCCGUUGCUACUUUUCCUCAGUUACUUUCAAAAUUUUCUUAGAAAAAGUGACAAUAAGUGUUUGCUUUUUCAUUUUUAUCCUUUACAUUCUCAUUAGUCUUCCAUGUGUGACCUGAAAGAAAGCUGGCAGAGGGUACUAGAACUGAUUGGCCCAUGCCCUCUGCAAACUAUAGAAGGCUCUGGUCUGUUAGUUAUUUGAUUCAUUUUAUGCUUGUCGGGUGCCUCUGUAAUAAACCUAUCUGUCACUCUAUAGAAUUCAAUAAAUUAAAGAGAGAAGAUAGUCUAAAACAAUUCAACACACUUCUGUUCACUUUGAAAUCACAGACAAAAGAUACUCAGUGUAGAAUUUGUUUUGGAAGGAAAAAUAAGGUUUACUUUUGCUUCUGGCAGCAUAUAUCCUUC
Non-coding RNA from Zootoca vivipara (common lizard), 1993 nucleotides. Lineage: Eukaryota; Metazoa; Chordata; Lepidosauria; Squamata; Lacertidae. The record is from RefSeq and is a predicted model, not a curated record.